Molecule: ribosomal RNA, 1064 nt
Filed under: uncultured bacterium
Lineage: Bacteria
Description: bacterial SSU rRNA
Rfam family: Bacterial small subunit ribosomal RNA
Source: RNAcentral
CGAAUUGGCGGGCGGCUUACACAUGCAGUCGAGCGGAAACGAUACCAGCUUGCUGGUAGGCGUCGAGCGGCGGACGGGUGAGUAAUACUUAGGAAUCUACCUAGUAGUGGGGGAUAGCUCGGGGAUACUCGAAUUAAUACCGCAUACGACCUACGGGAGAAAGGGGGCAGUUUACUGCUCUCGCUAUUAGAUGAGCCUAAGUCGGAUUAGCUAGAUGGUGGGGUAAAGGCCUACCAUGGCGACGAUCUGUAGCUGGUCUGAGAGGAUGAUCAGCCACACUGGGACUGAGACACGGCCCAGACUCCUACGGGAGGCAGCAGUGGGGAAUAUUGGACAAUGGGGGAAACCCUGAUCCAGCCAUGCCGCGUGUGUGAAGAAGGCCUUUUGGUUGUAAAGCACUUUUAGCAGUGAAGAAGACUCCUCGGCUAAUACCCGUGGACGAUGACAUUAGCUGCAGAAUAAGCACCGGCUAACUCUGUGCCAGCAGCCGCGGUAAUACAGAGGGUGCAAGCGUUAAUCGGAAUUACUGGGCGUAAAGCGAGCGUAGGUGGCUUGAUAAGUCAGAUGUGAAAUCCCCGGGCUUAACCUGGGAACUGCAUCUGAAACUGUUAGGCUAGAGUAGGUGAGAGGAGGGUAGAAUUCCAGGUGUAGCGGUGAAAUGCGUAGAGAUCUGGAGGAAUACCGAUGGCGAAGGCAGCCUUCUGGCAUCAUACUGACACUGAGGCUCGAAAGCGUGGGUAGCAAACAGGAUUAGAUACCCUGGUAGUCCACGCCGUAAACGAUGUCUACUAGUCGUUGGGUCCCUUGAGGACUUAGUGACGCAGCUAACGCAAUAAGUAGACCGCCUGGGGAGUACGGCCGCAAGGUUAAAACUCAAUGAAUUGACGGGGGCCCGCACAAGCGGUGGAGCAUGUGUUUAAUUCGAUGCAACGCGAGAACCUUACCUGGUCUUGACAUAUCUAGAUCCUGCAGAGAUGCGGGAGUGCCUUCGGGAUUAGAUACAGUGCUGCAUGCUGUCGUCAGCUCGUGUCAUGAAUGUUGGGUUAAGUCCCGCAACGAGCGCA